RNAcentral lists this ribosomal RNA (301 nucleotides) under uncultured bacterium. RNAcentral describes it as "partial 16S ribosomal RNA". It matches the Rfam family "Bacterial small subunit ribosomal RNA", at positions 509 to 809 of the family's 1533-position model. The record is from RNAcentral.
CAGCAGCCGCGGUAAUACGUAGGUGGCAAGCGUUGUCCGGAAUUAUUGGGCGUAAAAGGCUCGCAGGCGGUUUCUUAAGUCUGAUGUGAAAGCCCCCGGCUCAACCGGGGAGGGUCAUUGGAAACUGGGAAACUUGAGUGCAGAAGAGGAGAGUGGAAUUCCACGUGUAGCGGUGAAAUGCGUAGAGAUGUGGAGGAACACCAGUGGCGAAGGCGACUCUCUGGUCUGUAACUGACGCUGAGGAGCGAAAGCGUGGGGAGCGAACAGGAUUAGAUACCCCAGUAGUCCCUGUCUCUUAUAA